AACGAAGGGGGCUAGCGUUGAUCGGAAUUACUGGGCGUAAAGCGCACGUAGGUGGCGACGUAAGUCGGGUGUGAAAGCCCCGGGCUCAACCUGGGAAUUGCAUUCGAGACUGCAUUGCUGGAGUACGGAAGAGGAGGGCGGAAUUCCCGGUGUAGCGGUGAAAUGCGUAGAUAUCGGGAGGAACAUCAGUGGCGAAGGCGGCCCUCUGGUCCAGUACUGACACUCAAGUGCGAAAGCGUGGGGAGCAAACAGG
Molecule: ribosomal RNA, 253 nt
Filed under: uncultured bacterium
Lineage: Bacteria
Description: partial 16S ribosomal RNA
Rfam family: Bacterial small subunit ribosomal RNA
Source: RNAcentral